ACAAUGGCCCUUAUUCUGCGCCUCGAAUGACGUGACGAUAGUAGAGUCACCCAAGUCAUUCUAUUCCAGCAGUCUGUUUAGGUGAGGAACGUCACUUCGGAUGAACUUUGUGAGUUCUUACCCUAUUCUCGUAGUCACCGUGGGUGAGAAUCGUCGCAUUCGGGUGACGAUUUUAGGUGACAAUUGUCGGUACCUUUUCAGGUCGCGACGAGAUAGAAAUUCAAUGAAAAAUUUAUGAAACAGGGAAUAAUUCCCAAGUAACAUUUUAAACUCCUAAUGGUUUUAUAGGAAAAGAUGGAAGUUUUAAAAAUACUUUGUAAAAGUCUUGAUAGCCGCGAAGCGUAUUUCAACAAGACCAUUAAAAAACUAACUUCAGGAUAUCUACACGACAAUAAUAAAACCUUUUUAGAAAACUUCAAUCAAUUUUAAGAAUAUUUUAUCCUCCGUGUAUAUAGCGGUUUUGAAGGCCGCUAUAAAGCAGUUUCAAAACCUCGCUAUAAAACUAUGUCAAAUGCCAUAAAACGUCAAGUGUCAACAGGUGUCAACGACAGCUGAUUGAUGAUAAAAACAAACAAACCAUGAAAAGAAGAAGUGGAACAAGAAAAACCAACAGCAAAAUUUUGCGUUCGUUUUCUAAAACCAAAGGUAAUAUACUGAAUAUGCAGAUAGUUCAUCACUUACUUGGCUUAGUCGUACGCGAUUCGGCGCAACUGCCUCUCUCAUCACAGUGUCCGGAUGUUCAAUGGUGUCGGUGCCGGUUGGUUUUUCUCCAGCAACGUAGCCAAAAAAACCGACUGUUCGACAGUAUAAGCUUCCAGAACUUUUACGCAGCUGCAGCGAAGCGUGUGCACCGGAAGAUGGGGUUUCGACCCGGAAAAUCAGCCUGUUUUCAUUUCGGAGCUGUUACAACGGAAACCUUAAUGAUGGCCAACAUGAGAAAAAAUCCCCUGAGAAGCAACUAUAGAGUUCUAAUGUUGGAUCCGGAUUGAAAGGCAUAGUGCAAUAAACAUUAUUUAAAUAAAAAGUGAAUCGUA
Molecule: long non-coding RNA, 1034 nt
Organism: Uranotaenia lowii
Lineage: Eukaryota; Metazoa; Arthropoda; Insecta; Diptera; Culicidae
Exons: 2
Source: RefSeq, a predicted model, not a curated record